UACGGAGGGUGCGAGCGUUAAUCGGAAUUAUUGGGCGUAAAGGGUGCGUAGGUGGUUUAAUAAGUUAGCUGUGAAAUACCUGGGCUUAACCUGGGGGAGUCAGCUAAGACUGUUGGACUAGAGUAUGAGAGAGGGUAGUGGAAUUUCCGGUGUAGCGGUGAAAUGCGUAGAGAUCGGAAGGAACACCGGUGGCGAAGGCGGCUACCUGGCUUAAUACUGACACUGAGGCACGAAAGCGUGGGGAGCAAAC
Molecule: ribosomal RNA, 250 nt
Filed under: uncultured bacterium
Lineage: Bacteria
Description: partial 16S ribosomal RNA
Rfam family: Bacterial small subunit ribosomal RNA
Source: RNAcentral